Molecule: long non-coding RNA, 3026 nt
Organism: Pan paniscus (pygmy chimpanzee)
Lineage: Eukaryota; Metazoa; Chordata; Mammalia; Primates; Hominidae
Source: Ensembl
GAAGCAGGCUCAUCUUCCCCUCUAAUAGGUGGGGACACACUAUCAUUGAUGGUUGGUAAAAAAAGGUUGAAAAUUAUCAUCAAUAAUUCUCAAUUGGUGUUCUUUUCCUCCAGGUGAUGGUCUUUAAAAGAUUGUUACUUGAGAAUCACAAAACGAAUAUUCUUUUUCUUCUCUUGGCCUGAAAUAUUGAGGGUUAAGGAGGAAAAUAAUUGGUCCUCUCUUCACAUAGCCUGAUAGAAUUUUGGCUGGGAAAAUAGGAAGAUGGGAAAUAGGAAGAUGCAGUUAGAGAAAUAACUGCCAAUGCCAAUAUUUAUGCCUAUUACUGAAAAAAACAAAACAAAACAAAAACUAAAACAAAAGAACUCUCAGUUAUCUACAUGUGCAUAUAAUGUGUUUUUGAAUGAAUCACCAAAACAUUGCAAUGAUUAAUUUGAACAUCUUUGCUUUGUCAUCUGUGAUUAAGGAUUUUUUUUUCAUUAGCAAACAAACAGCUGCUUUGCCUCAGGCAUAAAUCAGAAGAGGAAAACCAGCUUCUGGACCUGGAGAGAGGAUGAAAGGGAAUAGGAAUUGAGGGAAGCGGAAGGGAAGAAUAAGCGACCCCUGGAGAGUCCCUACCAAGCCAGACAUAACAAACAAAAGUCCUCUACUACUGAGGAAGACAGAACAGGGAAGCCAGCAGGGGAAGAAAAAGAUGAUGCUGCUCUUGAUGCCUCAAAAAUGGCAAGGAAGAACCCAGGCAACUGAUGUACACACCCUUGGAACAAAUCUGCCCCAGAAGUACAAGACACACUCUUCGAAUUCAUGGAAUAAAUGGGAGCUCCUGGCCACAGUGGGAGCCAUGAUCUCUCUCCUUUACAUGUGGCUGUAUUCCCAGAGCUUUCAUUUCCAUGUGGCACAUUUUUAUGCUCAUUUUGGGUACCCCAGUUCUCGGCAUAUUGUUAGGCAAAGAUACGUGAAAGGAGCUGGUGUAGUGAAGGAUGAAGAGAAGGCAAUGCAUUGGUUUAGGGAUGUAGAAAUGCUCCUUAAUGUUGCUGCAAAACGGGGGAUCCAAGAAGCCCAAGAACUUCUGGAGAAUGUUAUUUGGACUAAAAGCAAGCUCUUGCCAACUGAAAGAACCGGGAGUUCUUAUAAACCAUAAUGUGUGCCUGCAUGCUCUUCCUGGAACAUGGGAUGUUCUGCUCUCACUUGUCCACUGUGGCCUUGCAAUGCUUUGUGGCAUUUUCAGUGGAAGCUCCUUUUACUUAUAGUCUCAUAUGCUGCUGCAGCAUUAAUUUGCUGGUUAAAAUCCUUUAAAUGAAGUGUUACUUAUAUGUUUUCCUGGGAUCUGAGUUUGAUCUCUUCUGGAUAGAGGAAUAUUUUAUUUGGGUUUCAUUACUGCUCACUUCAGCUAAAGUUUCAUUCAAGCCAGUGAGCAUUCUAUAACGUGGUAAGUGGAAAAUAACGAAGAAACCUGUCACACCAGAGAUUGGCUUCUUGGAUGUGUUAGCUGGCACUCACAGAUCCACUGAAAGAGCUAAACUCAUCAUUAGCCUAAUCUAUGACAUGUGAUGUUCUGCCUAAAAUAAGCCUAUUUUCAUUUCUCUCCAUUUCAAUUUUCUGCUCUAUUAGGUUUCUAUAGUAUUUUAUUACACUCACUUUUUGUAUUACAGAAAGUCCUUUAUGGGGGUAAAAAGGCUGUUAUUGUUGUCAAUGAAAGGGAAAAGGAUAAAGUAUAAGACCUAACAAUUAUUGACCAUCUGCCACAUGCAAGAUAUUUUCUUAGCUGUUUAACAUAUAUAUAUAUAUAUAUAUAUAUAUAUAUAUAUUUGAGACUGAGUUUCGAUCUUGUUGCUCAGGCUGGAGUACAAUGGCAUGAUCUCUACUCACUGCAACCUCAGCCUCUCAGGUUCAGGAUGUUAUCCUGCCUCAGCCUCCUGAGUAGCUGGGAUUACAUGCAUGCACCAUCACAUCCGGCUAGUUUUUUCAUUUUUAGUAGAGACGGGGUUUCACCAUGUUGGUCAGGCUGGUCUUGAACUUCUGACCUCAGGUGAUCUACCUGCCCUGCCCUCCCAAAAUGCUGGGAUUACAGGAGUGAGCCACCACGUCUGGCCUGCUUAACAAAUAUUUUAACAUUCACUAGUUAUAAAAGUCUUAUAAGGUGGAUCUUAUAACUCCUGUUUUACAGAGUGAAAACAGGUGUAGAGAAGUUGUGAUAUGUGCAAAGUCACAGAGUGAGUGAUAGAGUGGGGUUUUUAGUGCUGGCAGUCUGAUUCUAGAGUCAACAUUCUUAACCAGUUCUACCAACAUUACUCUCCCAAGUCAUUAACAUCUCUUUCCUAACAACAAAGAUGUUCUAAGAACAGAUAACUGGGUUUAUUACUGGCAUAUGGUGAACACUUAUCUUAGCAAAUAACUCAGCCCCAUUUUCUGACUAUGAUUUUUUUAAGGACAAACCACGUAGUCCUAUUCUUCAAAAGUGGUGUUUUUAACCUUAAUUAUAAUUAGCUGUAUUUAUCUCAUUUAGAUUAUAGCACAAUUUUCUCCUUGGAAUAUACAUGCAGAAACACAAAAUGAGGGUGACAAAAGUGUCAAACUGGAAUUCAAUAUGAUGAUUAAGCUGUGUUUAAAAUAUUUGUUUCCCUUUUGAUUGCCUUGUUUACACUGUAUACAUAUGGAAUAUGACUGUAAGCCUUCAGCAAUCUUCUCUUUGUCCAACGUGAACACAUAAACCUUUAAAGAUGUACAUGAAAUGGUCACAUGCAAUUUUAAAUUCUUUAAUGUAGAAAAUCCCAAAUUCAUAAACUAAAUUCUUCACGUGAACCUUUGGUAAUAGUAUUUUUAUCUUCUCUAGAAGCACUUUAUUUUUCUUACAUUUUUCCCAGAGAAACCAGUCUUCAUUUCAGUUUAUGUUGUUCAAGAUACAACUCUGGAAAUUUUAUUCUGUGCCACAAACACUUAUAAAAUACUAGGACAAUAAUUUCAAUCAUCGUGUUAGUGUGCAUUUUUUUAACCUUCACAGUAAUAUCCCCUUAACUGUCUUGUAAUUU